GUCGAAUGGCAGCGCGGGGCAACCUGGCGGCGAGUGGCGAACGGGUGAGUAAUAUAUCGGAACGUACCCUGGAGUGGGGGAUAACGUAGCGAAAGUUACGCUAAUACCGCAUACGAUCUAAGGAUGAAAGUGGGGGAUUCGCAAGAACCUCAUGCUCCUGGAGCGGCCGAUAUCUGAUUAGCUAGUUGGUGGGGUAAAGGCCUACCAAGGCAUCGAUCAGUAGCUGGUCUGAGAGGACGACCAGCCACACUGGAACUGAGACACGGUCCAGACUCCUACGGGAGGCAGCAGUGGGGAAUUUUGGACAAUGGGCGAAAGCCUGAUCCAGCAAUGCCGCGUGAGUGAAGAAGGCCUUCGGGUUGUAAAGCUCUUUUGUCAGGGAAGAAACGGUGAAGGCUAAUAUCCUUUGCUAAUGACGGUACCUGAAGAAUAAGCACCGGCUAACUACGUGCCAGCAGCCGCGGUAAUACGUAGGGUGCAAGCGUUAAUCGGAAUUACUGGGCGUAAAGCGUGCGCAGGCGGUUUUGUAAGUCUGUCGUGAAAUCCCCGGGCUCAACCUGGGAAUUGCGAUGGAGACUGCAAGGCUAGAAUCUGGCAGAGGGGGGUAGAAUUCCACGUGUAGCAGUGAAAUGCGUAGAGAUGUGGAGGAACACCGAUGGCGAAGGCAGCCCCCUGGGUCAAGAUUGACGCUCAUGCACGAAAGCGUGGGGAGCAAACAGGAUUAGAUACCCUGGUAGUCCACGCCCUAAACGAUGUCUACUAGUUGUCGGGUUUUAAUUAACUUGGUACCGCAGCUAACGCGUGAAGUAGACCGCCUGGGGGAGUACGGUCGCAAGAUUAAAACUCAAAGGAAUUGACGGGGACCCGCACAAGCGGUGGAUGAUGUGGAUUAAUUCGAUGCACC
RNAcentral lists this ribosomal RNA (904 nucleotides) under uncultured Janthinobacterium sp. RNAcentral describes it as "bacterial SSU rRNA". It matches the Rfam family "Bacterial small subunit ribosomal RNA", at positions 61 to 960 of the family's 1533-position model. Lineage: Bacteria; Pseudomonadati; Pseudomonadota; Betaproteobacteria; Burkholderiales; Oxalobacteraceae. The record is from RNAcentral.